This 390-nucleotide long non-coding RNA is filed under the name Salmo salar (Atlantic salmon). RNAcentral's name for it is "lncRNA (ENSSSAG00000088687.1)". Lineage: Eukaryota; Metazoa; Chordata; Actinopteri; Salmoniformes; Salmonidae. The record is from RNAcentral.
CUUGUUCAUGCCCCCAAGGCCAAUCCUGACAUGUCUGCCAUGCAAACUAUGGAGAGAAGCUACAGUCGCCAUUAUUUCAUUUUUUAAGGUGACACUGGAGAAAUGAAAGCGUACACAACUUGAAACACCAAGUCAAAAUCUAUAUGUGUGUAAAAUACUGAAGAUUACCAUCUCCUUAAUUCACCCGUUGCUGCUGUUGAAGAUUGAGUCACAUAAGCCUGUGAGGAUUUGAUUUUGCCUUGACCCCAGGAAAUCAUGUCCACGGCGGAUCACGACGAUUGAUCAACAGACGAACAGCCACUCCAGCAAUCAAUGCUCUCUGGCCGGGUCUCACAACAUCAGACUGCCUUGAGGAGAGGCCAGGGCCAGAUAGCAGGACCACUAUGGGAG